AUCAGCUUGUUGGUAAGGUAAUGGCUUACCAAGGCAUACGGGUAGCCGGCCUGAGAGGGUGAACGGCCACACUGGGACUGAGACACUGCCCAGACUCCUACGGGAGGCUGCAGUCGAGGAUCAUUCGCAAUGCGCGAAAGCGUGACGAUGCGACGCUGCGUGGAGGAUGAAGGCCUAGGGUCGUAAACUCCUGUCAUGAGGGAAAAACGGCCAUAGGGUUAAUAGCCCUAAGGUGUGAUGGUACCUCAAGAGGAAGCCACGGCUAACUCUGUGCCAGCAGCCGCGGUAAUACAGAGGUGGCGAGCGUUGUUCGGAUUUACUGGGCGUAAAGGGUGCGUAGGUGGCAAUGUAUGUCGGAUGUGAAAUCUCGAGGCUCAACUUCGAAAUUGCAUCCGAAACUGCAUAGCUUGAGUACAGGAUGGGAGAGCGGAAUUCUUGGUGUAGCGGUGAAAUGCGUUGAUAUCAAGAAGAACACCGGCGGCGAAGGCGGCUCUCUGGAAUGUUACUGACACUGAGGCACGAAAGCUGGGGGAGCAAACAGGAUUAGAUACCCUGGUAGUCCCAGCCGUAAACGGUGCACACUUGGUGUUGGAGGUAUUGACCCCUCCAGUGCCGGAGCUAACGCGUUAAGUAUGCCGCCUGGGGAGUACGGCCGCAAGGCUAAAACUCAAAGAAAUUGACGGGGGCCCGCACAAGCGGAGGAGCAUGUGGCUUAAUUCGAUGCAACGCGAAGAACCUUACCAGGGCUUGACAUGGGGACCCUUCGGGGGUGGGUGCGAAAGUACCCUUUACCAUCACAGGUGCUGCAUGGCUGUCGUCAGUUCGUGCCGUGAGGUGUUGGGUUAAGUCCCGCAACGAACGCAACCCCUGUGGUUAGUUGCCACCGCCGGUGAUAAGCCGGCGAGCACUCUAGCCAGACUGCCCGUGCAAGCGGGAGGAAGGUGGGGACGACGUCAAGUCAGUAUGGCCCUUACGCCCUGGGCUGCACACGUGCUACAAAGGCCGGUACAGAGGGAAGCAAUACCGCGAGGUGGAGCAAAUCCAGAAAACCGGCCCCAGUUCGGAUUGGAGUCUGCAACUCGACUCCAUGAAGUUGGAUUCGCUAGUAACGGCGUAUCAGCUACGACGCCGUGAAUACGUUCCCGGGCCUUGUACACACCGCCCGUCACAUCAUGAAAGCCGUCUGCACCCGAAGUCACUGAUCUAAUCCCCUUGUGGGAAGGAAGGUGCCGAAGGUGUGGGUGGUGAUUA
RNAcentral lists this ribosomal RNA (1251 nucleotides) under metagenome. Its description in RNAcentral is "bacterial SSU rRNA". It matches the Rfam family "Bacterial small subunit ribosomal RNA", at positions 240 to 1477 of the family's 1533-position model. The record is from RNAcentral.